This 164-nucleotide ribosomal RNA is filed under the name uncultured bacterium. Its description in RNAcentral is "partial 16S rRNA". It matches the Rfam family "Bacterial small subunit ribosomal RNA", at positions 355 to 511 of the family's 1533-position model. The record is from RNAcentral.
UAGGGAAUCUUCCACAAUGGGCGAAAGCCUGAUGGAGCAACGCCGCGUGUGUGAUGAAGGGUUCCGGCUCGUAAAACACUGUUGUAAGAGAAGAAUGACAUUGAGAGUAACUGUUCAAUGUGUGACGGUAUCUUACCAGAAAGGAACGGCUAAAUACGUGCCAC